Molecule: long non-coding RNA, 2140 nt
Filed under: Mus pahari (shrew mouse)
Lineage: Eukaryota; Metazoa; Chordata; Mammalia; Rodentia; Muridae
Description: lncRNA (MGP_PahariEiJ_G0002146.1)
Source: RNAcentral
AUACAUCCCUCUAACUGCAGGGUGUUCACCAGGCAGAGAAAACAAAGCAAGAGCCAGUUCUCCAGGGUGAGUGAGGGUCAGGGAACGGAAUUAUCAGCUGUCAAGACAAAGCCACAAAGGGUCUGGGAGAGAGACAACCUCCCCCACACACCCAAGGCAUGCGACAAUGCCACAUUUGGAUACACUGGAACUUUCCCACAGAAGGAACCAGAGCGGGGUCGCUCCUACAUGCACCAGCUUGGGAACCCCACUCCGGCCCCCUGCCGCAGCCCGAUCGCACCGCCGUCCCCGCUUCCCACCCCGAGGCCCGGUGCUUACUCGAACAUGGAUGCGGCGCCCCGGCUGCAGGGCAGGACCCGGCCGGCUGCGCUGAGAUGGGCCUCCCGGGCCUCGCCUGCCUCGGCCGCCACCUCCACCGGACCCUGCCACCCGCACAAAAGGCCGGAGCCGCCGGAGGCCGCCUCGGCGUCAGCGACACCCCCUUCCUGCUCCCGCCCCGCGCGUCACGGCGCCGCCCCCGCCGGGAGGGGGACCUGGACGCGAGCGCGGGCCUAGGCCUAGAUGGCUGGGGAAAGAGUCCCGUUGGGGGACAGAAGAAAAUUUUUAUUUAAAAUGAGCAGCUUGGGCGGGGCGUGAUAGCGCACGCCUCACAUCCCAGAGGCUGAGGCAGGAGGAUUGCCGUGAGUUCGAGGCGAGCUUGGGCUACAUAGUGAAGUCCAGGCCUGACUGGAAUGCAGAGUGAGAAUUUGUCUUCACAACAAAUGAGCAAACAAGUCUAAACACCCUGGGCUUCUCCCCUAGGACCCAGAAGAGUCUCUGAGAAGUGGGAUGGAGGUGGGUGACAGCUGAUGCUGGGAAGAACUGGCCUGGGGCGGAAGUCUGGGGGUGGGGGGAACCGCAGCUGGAGGGUGGAAAGCCUCUUCCCGCUCUCCCCACCCAGCCUCUGAGCCUCAGUUCCUGCCUUAGAAGCGUUCACUUUUCCGCGCGCGUGUGUGGAGACUUCCCCAGCCUAACCGUGCAGACCACGUCAGACUCCAGCCCACCCGGCUCCUAGCAGUGCUGGGUGAGCUUGGGCAAGUCCCUCAGGCCUGGGGAGCCCCCUGCUCCCAGGCAAGGGGUUUCCCCCAGAACAGCACAGGGGCAGGGCUCAUCAGCGCUUUUGAUACUGGGAAGCCUGCCGAGCGAGCCUCAGGACGGGAAAUGACCAUACAUUGCAGUGUAGGACGAGUUCUUGUGCCAGCCAGCCCUGCACCCACCCACCUCUGCAAGCCAGGCGUGGUUGUCGUCCUUGCUGGAGAACACAAGGUGAAUGAGCCUCUGGCUUUGGGACCCAGCCCAGGGAUUUCUCCCCACCCCUCUCCGGCCUUCAGCCUCUUGUCCAGCUACAGUAGACCCAGUUCCACCUUGUUUGGUUUCCAUUCCUACCCGACUCUGUUACCACUUACAGCCCUGUGAGUCGCCAAGUCCAGCCAGAGGCCUCUUGGCUUCAAACCCUACCCUGGCUCCACCUCAUUCCUUGUUUAAAAAAAAAAAAAAAGGUGCUCACCUUGGUGUCCAGAGCUCUCCUGAUUGGGCCCCUUCCACCUGUCUGUCUAAAUGGCUCCUCCUUAGCCUCCGGGUUGAUUAUCCCAGGUUCAACCUACCCCCUGCUCAUCCCACCGGCCUCCAGCCUCAGGACCUUUGCACUGCUAUCCCUUCCGCAGGACGAGGCUCGCUCUUCUUGCAUGGCUGCCUUCCAUCUUUCUGUGUCCCUUGCUCUUUUUAUACUUCCAUAGCUUGUUUACUUUUAGAAAGACAUUUACUUUGGUGGUGAGGGCUGGUGGGUGGGCUGGAGGGAGGUUCGGGAUUUCAUUAUGUAGCCUGGGCUGGCCUCAAACCUCAGUAUAUAGCUGAGACAGGGCUCGAAUUUAUGAACUUCCUGCCUCAGCCUCCUAAAUGCUGGGAUUACAGGCAGGAACCACCAACCCCAGAAAUUUUUACAUUUUGACUUAGUGAAUAUUCAUUUCAAAUAAAAGUGUAUAAUGGCCAUCUGUGUCCCCACCAUCAUAAGAGGCUCAGUAUGCAUAAAAAGUCUCAUUAAUUUCUUUAAAGGUUUUGAAUUGUUUCUCAGGACAAUGGAAGUCAUUAAAGUACUUAAAUG